This 304-nucleotide ribosomal RNA is filed under the name uncultured eukaryote. RNAcentral's name for it is "partial 18S ribosomal RNA". It matches the Rfam family "Eukaryotic small subunit ribosomal RNA", at positions 1470 to 1796 of the family's 1831-position model. The record is from RNAcentral.
CCCUUAGAUAUCCUAGGCUGCACGCGAGCUACAAUGGUAUAUAUAAAAGGUUGCUGCUCUGAGAAGACUGGCAAUACUCUGAUAUAUAUCGUAUUUGGAAUAGAUUUUUGUAAUUAUCAAUCUUGAACGAGGAAUUCCUAGUAAAAAUAUUUCAUCAUAAUGUUUUGAUUGUGUCCCUGCCCUUUGUACACACCGCCCGUCGCUCCUACCGAUUGAAUAUUCCGGUGAGAAGAUAGGAGAAAAAUCUUUUGAUUUUUUGAAUAUUUUUGAACCUUGAUAUUUAGAGGAAGGAGAAGUCGUAACA